AGAGUUUGAUCCUGGCUCAGGAUGAACGCUAGCGGCAGGCUUAACACAUGCAAGUCGAGGGACUCAGCAAUGGGGACCGGCAAACGGGUGCGGAACACGUACAGAAUCUACCUUUAUCUGGGGCAUAGCCCGAAGAAAUUCGGAUUAAUACCCCAUAAUAUUAUUAAGUGGCAUCACUUUGAUAAUUAAAGAUCCGUCGG
This 200-nucleotide ribosomal RNA is filed under the name uncultured bacterium. RNAcentral describes it as "partial 16S ribosomal RNA". It matches the Rfam family "Bacterial small subunit ribosomal RNA", at positions 8 to 218 of the family's 1533-position model. The record is from RNAcentral.